This is a non-coding RNA of Mycena epipterygia, 93 nucleotides long. The record is from the annotation of a GenBank genome assembly. NCBI's taxonomy places the organism in Eukaryota, Fungi, Basidiomycota, Agaricomycetes, Agaricales, Mycenaceae.
GUGCCGUUGGUGUAGGGGUAACACACAGCCUGAAUUUGGAACAUUUGCCCUUAAUGUAAGGUUGAGUCUUGGGUUCAAAUCCCAGACGGUGCG